This 119-nucleotide ribosomal RNA is filed under the name Vigna angularis (adzuki bean). The record is from RNAcentral. Lineage: Eukaryota; Viridiplantae; Streptophyta; Magnoliopsida; Fabales; Fabaceae.
AGGUGCGAUCAUACCAGCACUAAUGCAUCGGAUCCCAUUAGAACUCCGCCGUUAAGCGUGCUUGGGUGAGAAUAGUACUAGGAUGGGUGACCUCCUGGGAAGUCCUCGUGUUGCACCUC